RNAcentral lists this ribosomal RNA (252 nucleotides) under uncultured bacterium. Its description in RNAcentral is "partial 16S ribosomal RNA". It matches the Rfam family "Bacterial small subunit ribosomal RNA", at positions 524 to 776 of the family's 1533-position model. The record is from RNAcentral.
UACGGAGGAUGCGAGCGUUAUCCGGAUUUAUUGGGUUUAAAGGGUGCGCAGGCGGCACGGCAAGCCGGCGGUCAAAUCGCGGGGCUCAACCCCGCCCAGCCGUCGGAACUGCCGGGCUAGAGUGGGCGAGAAGUGCGCGGAAUGCGUGGUGUAGCGGUGAAAUGCAUAGAUAACACGCAGAACUCCGAUUGCGAAGGCAGCGCACCGGCGCCCUACUGACGCUCAGGCACGAAAGCGUGGGUAUCGAACAGG